GAUGAACGCUGGCGGCGUGCUUAACACAUGCAAGUCGAACGGAGAGGCCUCUGCUUGCAGGGGUACUCGAGUGGCGAACGGGUGAGUAACACGUGGGUGAUCUGCCCUGCACUUCGGGAUAAGCCUGGGAAACUGGGUCUAAUACCGGAUAGGACAAUGGUUUGGAUGCCGUUGUGGAAAGUUUUUCGGUGUGGGAUGAGCUCGCGGCCUAUCAGCUUGUUGGUGGGGUAAUGGCCUACCAAGGCGUCGACGGGUAGCCGGCCUGAGAGGGUGUACGGCCACAUUGGGACUGAGAUACGGCCCAGACUCCUACGGGAGGCAGGAGUGGGGAAUAUUGCACAAUGGGCGCAAGCCUGAUGCAGCGACGCCGCGUGGGGGAUGACGGCCUUCGGGUUGUAAACUCCUUUCGCUAGGGACGAAGCGCAAGUGACGGUACCUGGAGAAGAAGCACCGGCUAACUACGUG
This 465-nucleotide ribosomal RNA is filed under the name uncultured bacterium. Its description in RNAcentral is "partial 16S ribosomal RNA". It matches the Rfam family "Bacterial small subunit ribosomal RNA", at positions 28 to 507 of the family's 1533-position model. The record is from RNAcentral.